GACGAACGCUGGCGGCGUGCCUAAUACAUGCAAGUAGAACGCUGAAGGAGGAGCUUGCUUCUCUGGAUGAGUUGCGAACGGGUGAGUAACGCGUAGGUAACCUGCCUGGUAGCGGGGGAUAACUAUUGGAAACGAUAGCUAAUACCGCAUAAUAGCAGUUAUUGCAUGAUAACUGUUUGAAAGGUGCAAUUGCACCACUACCAGAUGGACCUGCGUUGUAUUAGCUAGUUGGUGGGGUAACGGCUCACCAAGGCGACGAUACAUAGCCGACCUGAGAGGGUGAUCAGCCACACUGGGACUGAGACACGGCCCAGACUCCUGCGGGAGGCAGCAGUAGGGAAUCUUCGGCAAUGGACGGAAGUCUGACCGAGCAAAGCCGCGUGAGUGAAGAAGGGUUUCGGAUCGUAAAGCUCGGUUGUAAGAGAAGAACGAGUGUGAGAGUGGAAAGUUCACACUGUGACGGUAUCUUACCAGAAAGGGACGGCUAACUACGUG
Molecule: ribosomal RNA, 495 nt
Filed under: uncultured bacterium
Lineage: Bacteria
Description: partial 16S ribosomal RNA
Rfam family: Bacterial small subunit ribosomal RNA
Source: RNAcentral